AGCGCGAGGCCGCGCUGGAGGAGCUGGGUGACUCGAAGCCUGGGUCUUGCACGGCGAUUCGAGUCUCUAAGUAAGACUAGGGAAGUGGUGCGCGCUUGACGCUCAGUUGUCAGUCGCCAAAUUGAUGGGAAUAUUAGCAACCUUUGUGCCGUUUACCCCGUGACUGCAGGUCUUUCCUAAAAUAGCUUUUGAGGUAGAACAACUGCAAAUGGAAAUAAUAGAGUCCAGUGAAAUGGCUGAUUCUCUAGGGGAAAACAGCCCGAUAUAGGGGUGGCCCGUGGUUCAGCCUGUCUAAUCCUCUGAUGUGUGCGUUUCCUUGCAGAUCUAGUUCCCUCAGAUUCUCCUAGUUGCUGACUCUAAGAAAGAGGAACUAGGAAACACGAACCAGUGGCCGUGGCAGGGCAGGCCUGGAGCUGUUUGGGCAAUAAAGGUCAUCUCUGUGGAGACAGACGGAAAAGGUAUACAUAUGGGAAGCCAGUGAAAGGAGAUAUAAUGCUUACAUUUUUACCUCUGUCGUUUUGGGGAGAGAAGAAAAAUAUUACAAAAAAAUUUAAGGUCAAGGCCACCCGUUCUGAUACCAAUCGACUGACUCCUGAAGAAAGAAACAAUAAUGUAGUAAUAGCAGUGACACAGAGGAACAGUACCAGUUCCUGGACCAGGUGGAGCAGUGGAAAUCAGGAAACAGAAAAUGCCAGACCAUUAACUAUACUGUCCCCCAAAAUGGGAUCUUCAAGAUUGAAUUUCCAAUUCUGGACGAUUCCAGUGAGCUGCAAUUGAAGGCAGUUCAUGGCAUGUUUACAUCUCCUAGUAAACCAUACAUCCAGCUAAAAACAAGAGAUGAAAAUAUAAAGGUAAUGCCUAAAACUCGCUUGAU
RNAcentral lists this long non-coding RNA (874 nucleotides) under Castor canadensis (American beaver). Its description in RNAcentral is "lncRNA (ENSCCNG00000006575.1)". The record is from RNAcentral. Lineage: Eukaryota; Metazoa; Chordata; Mammalia; Rodentia; Castoridae.